RNAcentral lists this ribosomal RNA (207 nucleotides) under uncultured bacterium. RNAcentral's name for it is "partial 16S ribosomal RNA". It matches the Rfam family "Bacterial small subunit ribosomal RNA", at positions 568 to 774 of the family's 1533-position model. The record is from RNAcentral.
UUCGUAGGUGGCCUGCUAAGUCACACGUGAAAUCCCUCAGCUUAACUGGGGAACUGCGUGUGAGACUGGCGGGCUUGAGUGCAGGAGAGGAACGCGGAAUUCCAGGUGUAGCGGUGAAAUGCGUAGAUAUCUGGAGGAACACCGGUGGCGAAGGCGGCGUUCUGGACUGCUACUGACACUGAGGAACGAAAGCCAGGGGAGCAAACG